GACGAACGCUGACGGUGUGCUUUAGACAUGCAAGUCGAACGAGAAAGCCCUUCGGGGUUAGUAAAGUGGCGAACGGGUGAGUAACACGUGGGCAAUCUGCCCCUCGCAGGGGGACAACCGGAGGAAACCCCGGCUAAUACCCCGUAAGUUCAAAGGGAGGCAUCUCCCCUUGAAGAAAGGUAGCUUCGGCCAUCCGGCGAGGGAUGAGCCCGCGGUGCAUUAGCUAGUUGGUGGGGUAACGGCCCACCAAGGCGACGAUGCAUAGCUGGUCUGAGAGGAUGAUCAGCCACACUGGGACUGAGACACGGCCCAGACUCCUACGGGA
RNAcentral lists this ribosomal RNA (325 nucleotides) under uncultured bacterium. Its description in RNAcentral is "bacterial SSU rRNA". It matches the Rfam family "Bacterial small subunit ribosomal RNA", at positions 28 to 346 of the family's 1533-position model. The record is from RNAcentral.